AAACCGUUGAAAGGGAAGCGAAUGGAGUUAGCAAUUCGCCCUGCCAGAUUCAGUUGUUCGCGCUUCGCGACGGGCGCGCUCUCGAUCCGCAUGGACGUGACGUGCACGGGUGCGACGUGCGGACGGCGCACUUCUGGCGGGCGAGCGUCAGCGUCGGUCGCCGACGGGCUAUAAGGUCGCGAGGAAGGUAGACGUGCCUCCGGGCGCGUUGUUAAGACUCGCGUUCGCAUGGCUCGACGGCGACCGUGGCUCCUUCACACGGAGGCGACGCGUGCCUGGCUGGCGACUCGUGCGAUCGGCCCGGCAUGUCGACCGUGGCGGACGGCCCGCCUGUGCCCUCGAACUGCUGCCGGUCGCUCGCCCGGGGCUCGCACACUACCCGUCGAAAACGCUGACACCCUUACGGUUCCUUCGAACCCGUCUUGAACCACGGACCAAGGAUUCUAACAUGUGCGCAAGUCUCCGGGUGAUCAAAACCCGGGGGCCCAAUGAAAGUAAAGGUCGUCCUAAACAAUUGAGGUGAGAAGCGCGCUUCGUCUCGUUGCGCGCCGCAUCAUCGACCGACCUAUUCUGUUCUCAGAAAGGUUUGAGUAAGAGCGUAUCUGUUGGGACCCGAAAGAUGGUGAACUAUGCCUGAAUAGGGGGAAGCCAGCGAACACCCUGGUGGA
RNAcentral lists this ribosomal RNA (668 nucleotides) under Sinularia sp. isolate 9. Its description in RNAcentral is "partial 28S ribosomal RNA". It matches the Rfam family "Eukaryotic large subunit ribosomal RNA", at positions 402 to 871 of the family's 3401-position model. Lineage: Eukaryota; Metazoa; Cnidaria; Anthozoa; Malacalcyonacea; Sinulariidae. The record is from RNAcentral.